RNAcentral lists this ribosomal RNA (665 nucleotides) under uncultured bacterium. RNAcentral describes it as "bacterial SSU rRNA". It matches the Rfam family "Bacterial small subunit ribosomal RNA", at positions 840 to 1505 of the family's 1533-position model. The record is from RNAcentral.
UUGGUAACGAAGCUAACGCGUGAAGUUGACCGCCUGGGGAGUACGGCCGCAAGGUUAAAACUCAAAGGAAUUGACGGGGACCCGCACAAGCGGUGGAUUAUGUGGAUUAAUUCGAUGCAACGCGAAAAACCUUACCUACCCUUGACAUGUACGGAAUUCCGCAGAGAUGUGGAAGUGCCCGAAAGGGAACCGUAACACAGGUGCUGCAUGGCUGUCGUCAGCUCGUGUCGUGAGAUGUUGGGUUAAGUCCCGCAACGAGCGCAACCCUUGCCAUUAGUUGCUACAUUCAGUUGGGCACUCUAGUGGGACCGCCGGUGACAAACCGGAGGAAGGUGGGGAUGACGUCAAGUCCUCAUGGCCCUUAUGGGUAGGGCUUCACACGUAAUACAAUGGUCGGUACAGAGGGCAGCCAACCCGCGAGGGGGAGCUAAUCCCAGAAAGCCGAUCGUAGUCCGGAUUGUAGUCUGCAACUCGACUGCAUGAAGCCGGAAUCGCUAGUAAUCGCGGAUCAGCAUGUCGCGGUGAAUACGUUCCCGGGUCUUGUACACACCGCCCGUCACACCAUGGGAGUGGGUUCCACCAGAAGUAGGUAGCCUAACCGCAAGGGGGGCGCUUACCACGGUGAGAUUCAUGACUGGGGUGAAGUCGUAACAAGGUAACCGUAG